GACGAACGCUGGCGGCGUGCUUAACACAUGCAAGUCGAACGGAAAGGCCCUGCUUUUGUGGGGUGCUCGAGUGGCAAACGGGUGAGUAACACGUGAGUAACCUGCCCUUGACUUUGGGAUAACUUCAGGAAACUGGGGCUAAUACCGGAUAGGAGCUCCUGCUGCAUGGUGGGGGUUGGAAAGUUUCGGCGGUUGGGGAUGGACUCGCGGCUUAUCAGCUUGUUGGUGGGGUAGUGGCUUACCAAGGCUUUGACGGGUAGCCGGCCUGAGAGGGUGACCGGCCACAUUGGGACUGAGAUACGGCCCAGACUCCUACGGGAGGCAGCAGUGGGGAAUAUUGCACAAUGGGCGGAAGCCUGAUGCAGCAACGCCGCGUGCGGGAUGACGGCCUUCGGGUUGUAAACCGCUUUCGCCUGUGACGAAGCGUGAGUGACGGUAAUGGGUAAAGAAGCACCGGCUAACUACGUGCCAGCAGCCGCGGUGAUACGUAGGGUGCGAGCGUUGUCCGGAUUUAUUGGGCGUAAAGGGCUCGUAGGUGGUUGAUCGCGUCGGAAGUGUAAUCUUGGGGCUUAACCCUGAGCGUGCUUUCGAUACGGGUUGACUUGAGGAAGGUAGGGGAGAAUGGAAUUCCUGGUGGAGCGGUGGAAUGCGCAGAUAUCAGGAGGAACACCAGUGGCGAAGGCGGUUCUCUGGGCCUUUCCUGACGCUGAGGAGCGAAAGCGUGGGGAGCGAACAGGCUUAGAUACCCUGGUAGUCCACGCUGUAAACGGUGGGUACUAGAUGUGGGGUCCAUUCCACGGGUUCCGUGCCGUAGCUAACGCUUUAAGUACCCCGCCUGGGGAGUACGGCCGCAAGGCUAAAACUCAAAGGAAUUGACGGGGCCCCGCACAAGCGGCGGAGCAUGCGGAUUAAUUCGAUGCAACGCGUAGAACCUUACCUGGGUUUGACAUGGAUCGGGAGUGCUCAGAGAUGGGUGUGCCUCUUUUGGGGUCGGUUCACAGGUGGUGCAUGGCUGUCGUCAGCUCGUGUCGUGAGAUGUUGGGUUAAGUCCCGCAACGAGCGCAACCCUUGUUCACUGUUGCCAGCACGUUAUGGUGGGGACUCAGUGGAGACCGCCGGGGUCAACUCGGAGGAAGGUGGGGAUGACGUCAAGUCAUCAUGCCCCUUAUGUCCAGGGCUUCACGCAUGCUACAAUGGCUGGUACAGAGAGUGGCGAGCCUGUGAGGGUGAGCGAAUCUCGGAAAGCCGGUCUCAGUUCGGAUUGGGGUCUGCAACUCGACCUCUUGAAGUCGGAGUCGCUAGUAAUCGCAGAUCAGCAACGCUGCGGUGAAUACGUUCCCGGG
Molecule: ribosomal RNA, 1343 nt
Filed under: uncultured bacterium
Lineage: Bacteria
Description: 16S ribosomal RNA
Rfam family: Bacterial small subunit ribosomal RNA
Source: RNAcentral